Molecule: ribosomal RNA, 253 nt
Filed under: uncultured bacterium
Lineage: Bacteria
Description: partial 16S ribosomal RNA
Rfam family: Bacterial small subunit ribosomal RNA
Source: RNAcentral
UACGAAGGGGGCUAGCGUUGCUCGGAAUUACUGGGCGUAAAGGGCGCGUAGGCGGACGAACAAGUCGGGGGUGAAAGCCCGGGGCUCAACCUCGGAAUUGCCUUCGAAACUGUUCGUCUAGAGUGCGGGAGAGGUGUGUGGAACUCCGAGUGUAGAGGUGAAAUUCGUAGAUAUUCGGAAGAACACCAGUGGCGAAGGCGACACACUGGCUCACUACUGACGCUGAGGCGCGAAAGCGUGGGGAGCAAACAGG